This 371-nucleotide ribosomal RNA is filed under the name uncultured organism. RNAcentral describes it as "bacterial SSU rRNA". It matches the Rfam family "Bacterial small subunit ribosomal RNA", at positions 525 to 896 of the family's 1533-position model. The record is from RNAcentral.
GUAAGGGUGUCAAGCGUUAAUCGGAAUUACUGGGCGUAAAGCGUUGCGCAGGCGGUUAUGUAAGACAGUUGUGAAAUCCCCGGGCUCAACCUGGGAACUGCAUCUGUGACUGCAUAGCUAGAGUACGGUAGAGGGGGAUGGAAUUCCGCGUGUAGCAGUGAAAUGCGUAGAUAUGCGGAGGAACACCGAUGGCGAAGGCAAUCCCCUGGACCUGUACUGACGCUCAUGCACGAAAGCGUGGGAGCAAACAGGAUUAGAUACCCUGGUAGUCCACGCCCUAAACGAUGUCAACUGGUUGUUGGGUCUUCACUGACUCAGUAACGAAGCUAACGCGUGAAGUUGACCGCCUGGGGAGUACGGCCGCAAGGUUG